AGAUGCUCUAACUUUGGCUUU
This 21-nucleotide small nuclear RNA is filed under the name Arabidopsis thaliana (thale cress). RNAcentral's name for it is "snRNA_02058". Lineage: Eukaryota; Viridiplantae; Streptophyta; Magnoliopsida; Brassicales; Brassicaceae. The record is from RNAcentral.